CCUGGUAUCCUAGUGGUUAAGGAUCUGGCAUUGUCACUGUUAUGGCCCAGGUUCAAUCCCUGGCCCAGGA
Molecule: transfer RNA, 70 nt
Filed under: Sus scrofa (pig)
Lineage: Eukaryota; Metazoa; Chordata; Mammalia; Artiodactyla; Suidae
Rfam family: tRNA
About the family: Transfer RNA (tRNA) molecules are approximately 80 nucleotides in length. Their secondary structure includes four short double-helical elements and three loops (D, anti-codon, and T loops).
Source: Rfam by way of RNAcentral